Molecule: ribosomal RNA, 403 nt
Filed under: bacterium
Lineage: Bacteria
Description: partial 16S ribosomal RNA
Rfam family: Bacterial small subunit ribosomal RNA
Source: RNAcentral
UGGGGAAUAUUGCACAAUGGGGGAAACCCUGAUGCAGCGACGCCGCGUGAACGAAGAAGGUAUUCGUAUCGUAAAGUUCUGUCCUAUGGGAAGAUAAUGACAGUACCAUAGAAGAAAGCUCCGGCUAAAUACGUGCCAGCAGCCGCGGUAAUACGUAUGGAGCGAGCGUUGUCCGGAAUUAUUGGGCGUAAAGGGUACGCAGGCGGUUUAAUAAGUCGAAUGUUAAAGAUCGGGGCUCAACCCCGCAAAGCAUUGCAAACUGAUAAACUUGAGUAGUGGAGAGGAAAGUGGAAUUCCUAGUGUAGUGGUGAAAUACGUAGAUAUUAGGAGGAAUACCAGUAGCGAAGGCGACUUUCUGGACACAAACUGACGCUGAGGUACGAAAGCGUGGGGAGCAAACAGG